This 77-nucleotide transfer RNA is filed under the name Achromobacter xylosoxidans. RNAcentral describes it as "tRNA-Met". The record is from RNAcentral. RNAcentral also lists the same sequence under 2 other names. Lineage: Bacteria; Pseudomonadati; Pseudomonadota; Betaproteobacteria; Burkholderiales; Alcaligenaceae.
GGCGCGGGUCUGCGGGCCGUUCAGACACCGGAAUCAUAAUCCGCAGGUCCCCUGUUCGAAUCAGGGAUGCGCCACCA